CACCGUAAACCGACACAGGUAGGUGAGGAGAGAAUCCUAAGGCCGACGGGAGAAGCAUUGUUAAGGAACUCGGCAAAAUGACUCCGUAACUUCGGGAGAAGGAGUGCCAGUGAGAGCUGGCCGCAGAGAAUUGGCCCAAGCAACUGUUUAGCAAAAACACAGGUCUAUGCAAAACCGUAAGGUGAAGUAUAUGGGCUGACGCCUGCCCGGUGCUGGAAGGUUAAGGGGAGAGGUUAGCGCAAGCGAAGCUUUGAACUUAAGCCCCAGUAAACGGCGGCCGUAACAAUAACGGUCCUAAGGUAACGAAAUUCCUUGUCGGGUAAGUUCCGACCCGCACGAAAGGCGAAAUGAUUUGGGCACUGUCUCAACAAUGCACCCGGUGAAAUUGAAAUACCAGUGAAGAUGCUGGUUACCUGCGCCAGGACGGAAAGACCCCAUGGAGCUUUACUCCAGCUUGAUACUGGGAUUCGAUAUUGUAUGUACAGGAUAGGUGGGAGGCGAAGAAGCAUUGACGCCAGUUGAUGCGGAGCCGCUGUUGGGAUACCACCCUUGCAGUAUUGGAUUUCUAACCAGCAGCCGUGACCCGGCUGGGGGACAAUGUCAGGUGGGGAGUUUGACUGGGGCGGUCGCCUCCGAAAGGGUAUCGGAGGCGCUCAAAGGUUCCCUCAGAAUGGUUGGAAACCAUUCGAAGAGUGCAAAGGCAGAAGGGAGCUUGACUGCGACACCGACGGGUGGAGCAGGUACGAAAGUAGGACUUAGUGAUCCGGUGGUAUAAAGUGGGAUUGCCAUCGCUCAACGGAUAAAAGCUACCCUGGGAUAACAGGCUUAUCACUCCCAAGAGUUCACAUCGACGGAGUGGUUUGGCACCUCGAUGUCGGCUCAUCGCAUCCUGGGGCUGAAGUAGGUCCCAAGGGUUGGGCUGUUCGCCCAUUAAAGCGGUACGCGAGCUGGGUUCAGAACGUCGUGAGACAGCUCGGUCCCUAUCCGGCGUGGGCGUAGGAUAUUUGAGAGGAGCUGGCCUUAGUACGAGAGGACCGGGCUGGACUGACCGCUGGUGUAUCUGUUGUUCCGCCAGGAGCAUGGCAGAGUAGCCAAGUCAGGAAGGGAUAAACGCUGAAGGCAUCUAAGCGUGAAGCCCCCCUCAAGAUGAGAUAUCCCAGCGCAAGUUGUAAGACCCCUUGAAGACGACAAGGUAGAUAGGGCAGAGGUGGAAGUGCAGUAAUGCAUGGAGCUGACUGUUACUAAUCGGUCGAGGGCAUAACC
RNAcentral lists this ribosomal RNA (1263 nucleotides) under metagenome. RNAcentral's name for it is "bacterial LSU rRNA". It matches the Rfam family "Bacterial large subunit ribosomal RNA", at positions 1645 to 2925 of the family's 2925-position model. The record is from RNAcentral.